AGUGAACGCUGGCGGUAGGCCUAAUACAUGCAAGUCGAACGGCAGCACAGUAAGUGCUUGCUCUUACGGGUUGCGAGUCGCGGACGGGUGAGGAAUACAACGGACUCUACUUUUUCGUGGGAGUUAACGUAGGGAAAGUUAAGCUCAUAUCGCAUACGAUCUUCCAGUACAUGCAGGUGAUAUUCGGAAUUUGAGCACUUGCAUGAGCCGAUGUUGGAUUAGCUAGUUGGCGGGGUGAAGACCCACCAAGGCGACGAUACAGAGCUGGUCGGAGAGGGUGAGAGGCCAAACUGGGAAUGAGACACGGCCCAGACUCAUACGGGAGGCAGCAGUAGGGAAUCGUCGGCAAUGGACGGAAGGCUGACCGAGCAACGCCGCGGGAGUGAAGAAGGUUUUCGGAUCGUAAAGCUCUGUUGUAAGAGAAGAAAGAGUGUGAGAGUGGAAAGUUCACACUGUGACGGUAUCUUACCAGAAAGGGACGGCUAACUACGUG
RNAcentral lists this ribosomal RNA (493 nucleotides) under uncultured bacterium. RNAcentral's name for it is "partial 16S ribosomal RNA". It matches the Rfam family "Bacterial small subunit ribosomal RNA", at positions 29 to 507 of the family's 1533-position model. The record is from RNAcentral.